Pan troglodytes (chimpanzee) is the source of this 2300-nucleotide RNA transcript. It is a transcript of the gene named snurportin 1, with no coding region annotated. Lineage: Eukaryota; Metazoa; Chordata; Mammalia; Primates; Hominidae. The transcript is spliced from 9 exons. The record is from RefSeq and is marked provisional.
GAGAAUAAGACCACCUGGGGCUAAGGUCCGAACACUUGGAGGCAGCACCAUCCAAGGAAUGGGUUGAAACAGCAGGAGCCCGGCGGGGCGCAGUGGCUCACGCCUGUAAUCCCAGCACUUUGGGAGGCCGAGGUGGGCGGAUCACCUGAGGUCAGGAGUUUGAGACCAGCCUGACCAACAUGGUGAAACCCCAUCUGUACUAAAAAUACAAAAAAAAUUAGCCGGGCGUUGUGGCGCGUGCCUUUAAUCCCAGCUACUCGGGAGGCUGAGGCAGGAGAAUCGCUUGAAUCCGGGAGAUGGAGAUUGCAGUGAGCCGAGAUCAUGCCACUGCACUCCAGCCUGGGCAACACGAGCGAAACUCUGUCUCAAAACAACAACAACAAAGAAAAAACAAAACGAAACAGCAGGAACCCGCCAAGAACAGCCUUGAAGGAAGGGAAGAUGGAAGAGUUGAGUCAAGCCCUGGCUAGUAGCUUUUCUGUGUCUCAAGAUCUGAACAGCACAGCUGCCCCACACCCCCGCCUAUCCCAGUACAAGUCCAAGUACAGUUCCUUGGAGCAGAGUGAGCGCCGCCGGCGGUUACUGGAACUGCAGAAAUCCAAGCGGCUGGAUUAUGUGAACCAUGCCAGAAGACUGGCUGAAGAUGACUGGACAGGGAUGGAGAGUGAGGAAGAAAAUAAGAAAGAUGAUGAAGAAAUGGACAUUGACACUGUCAAGAAGUUACCAAAACACUAUGCUAAUCAAUUGAUGCUUUCUGAGUGGUUAAUUGACGUUCCUUCAGAUUUGGGGCAGGAAUGGAUUGUGGUCGUGUGCCCUGUUGGAAAAAGAGCCCUUAUCGUGGCCUCCAGGGGUUCUACCAGUGCCUACACCAAGAGUGGCUACUGUGUCAACAGGUUUUCUUCACUUCUGCCAGGAGGCAACAGGCGAAACUCAACAGCAAAAGACUACACCAUUCUAGAUUGCAUUUACAGUGAGGUAAACCAGACCUACUACGUUCUGGAUGUGAUGUGCUGGCGGGGACACCCUUUUUAUGAUUGCCAGACUGAUUUCCGAUUCUACUGGAUGCAUUCAAAGUUACCAGAAGAAGAAGGACUGGGAGAGAAAACCAAGCUUAAUCCUUUUAAAUUUGUGGGGCUAAAGAACUUCCCUUGCACUCCCGAAAGCCUGUGUGAUGUGCUAUCUAUGGAUUUCCCUUUUGAGGUAACGAAACCAUUGUCUUUAUUGCCUUGACAUGAUGAUAGGCUGCAGAGAGACUUAGUUACACAAAGUCUUAAAAUAUUCCUUGAUUGUGCUGUGUCAAAGCAUCAGAAUGGGACAAAGCUGAUUCUGGAGAAAGGAUGUACUUGCUGCCCUUCAGAGCCUGAGCUCCACCCCUGCUGGAUAAGUCAGAAUGCUGGCACUGGAAGGGCCCUUAAUGGACAGCUCGUCCAACUCCCUCAUCUUAUAGAUGGAGAAACUGAGGUCUGGAGAAACUGAGGCCCAGAUAGGAGCAAGACUUGCAUGCCUAGAUCCUUCUUGUGUGCCUCUUCCUACUGCAAGCUGAGACCCAGGUCCCUGGUUUGGCUGUCGUGGCUGCUUGUAAAGUGAAGGGGCUUCUGUGACUGAAUGACUCCAACAAAUGUCCAAAUCCCUAAUCCUUUCCUCACCAAAGAAGAUGGCCCUUGGGGACAGCAGCACUUGCUGAGCAGGAGCAUGAGUCAGGUAGAUGGACUUCUCUUCUACCACAAACAGACCCACUACAGCCCCGGAAGCACUCCCUUGGUGGGCUGGCUGCGCCCCUACAUGGUGUCAGAUGUCCUUGGUGUAGCUGUGCCGGCUGGCCCGCUGACCACCAAGCCAGACUAUGCUGGGCACCAGCUCCAGCAGAUUAUGGAGCACAAGAAGAGCCAGAAGGAAGGCAUGAAGGAGAAACUCACACACAAGGCCUCUGAGAAUGGGCACUAUGAGUUGGAGCACCUGUCUACUCCCAAGUUGAAGGGUUCUUCCCAUAGCCCAGACCACCCUGGAUGCCUCAUGGAGAAUUAAAGAGAGAAGCCUCCUUAAGGAGCCACAGGAUGGUACCUGGCCCCAAAAGGAAUCCUGGAGAGGAGGACAGUGACAACAGGUGACUUCAUUCUUUAGAGUGAACUUUCCAAACCCAGUCCAGCUGGAAACAGCUUAUCUAUAAUCUGAAAUGCUGGCUCAAACAGUUAUGGGGAGGUUCCCAGAUUGCGUAGCAUUCAGAUUGAUUUGAGCAGCUCCUACUGUGAUAAGUGUAUCCCAGAUCCACAAUGUAAAUAUAUGUGAUUUGUAAGAAAGAA